GCACUUGGAUUUCUCAAGUCACCCGCUUGGUCCUCUUCCAAGUAUACUUUACUUCCUUUCAUUCCUCUCUAAAACUUUUUUAAAAACUUUCACUCCUGCUCUAAAAGUUAUCUUGGUUUCUUACUCUGCCUUAUGCCCCUUGGGUGAAUUUUUUCCUCUGAGGAGGGAAGAAUAGAGUUGCUGCUGCAGACCCAUCAGAUUCCCUACUGGUAACAGCUGGAGUGCGUCACCUCUGACAAAAUUCUGGGGACGCUGGGGACCCUGAAUCACCAUGGGCAAUGAGAACAGCACCUCGGACAACCAGAGGACUUUAUCAGCUCAGACUCCAAGGUCCGCGCAGCCACCCGGGAACAGUCAGAAUAUAAAAAGGAAGCAGCAGGACACGCCCGGAAGCCCUGACCAGAGAGACGCGUCCAGAUGGUAACGACUUCAGCCAGCCUGAAGGGAAGCCACAUUGUUUCCUAAGUUGGCAGUUCCUGUCAGAGGCGUGGACAAGAAAGUGGCUUCGUUUAUUUCCAGCUUGAUAAAGCCGACGUAAAUAGGAGCACUUCAUUUCUGAAUCACACACCAUUAAUCUUAUCACAUA
Molecule: small RNA, 586 nt
Filed under: Pongo abelii (Sumatran orangutan)
Lineage: Eukaryota; Metazoa; Chordata; Mammalia; Primates; Hominidae
Description: processed transcript
Source: RNAcentral